CCUACGGGAGGCAGCAGUGGGGAAUAUUGGUCAAUGGGCGCGAGCCUGAACCAGCCAAGUAGCGUGAAGGAUGAAUGCCCUACGGUUUGUAACCUUCUUUUAUAGAGGAAUAAAGUGAGGCGCGUGUGCCUUUUUGUAUGUACUUUAUGAAUAAGGAUCGGCUAACUCCGUGCCAGCAGCCGCGGUAGUACGGAGGAUCCGAGCGUUAUCCGGAUCUAUUGGGUUUAAGGGGAGCGUAGAUGGGUUGUUAAGUCAGUUGUGAAAGUUUGCGGCUCAACCGUAAAAUUGCAAUUGAUACUGGCAGUCUUGAGUACAGUUGAGGCAGGCGGAAUUCGUGGUGUAGCGGUGAAAUGCGUAGAUAUCACGAAGAACACCGAUUGCGAAGGCAGCUUACUAAACUGUAACUGACACUGAUGCUCGAAAGUGUGGGUAUCAAACAGGAUUAGAUACCCCAGUAGUC
This 460-nucleotide ribosomal RNA is filed under the name uncultured bacterium. RNAcentral describes it as "partial 16S ribosomal RNA". It matches the Rfam family "Bacterial small subunit ribosomal RNA", at positions 338 to 795 of the family's 1533-position model. The record is from RNAcentral.